Molecule: long non-coding RNA, 2231 nt
Organism: Numida meleagris (helmeted guineafowl)
Lineage: Eukaryota; Metazoa; Chordata; Aves; Galliformes; Numididae
Exons: 3
Source: RefSeq, a predicted model, not a curated record
CGUCAUAGGAACGAACGCGCUCGGCCGGCAGCAGUUCUGAAUGCGAGCGGGCGGCUGCACCUGCGGGAGCUGGCGUGGCCGUGCUGGAGAUGCUCGGCGCUGCUCGGCCCCGCGCUCUGCGGGCCGGGCCAGGCCGGGACGGGACGAGCAAGCAAAGCCGGGUAGUUACAGAGGCACAGUGUAAAUAACUUCAGCGUCCCGUGCUGGUGCUGAGAAUGUAAGGCAGGCAGCUCUUGCACUUGUCGUCUUUUAGUUUCCUUUUCACUUAAACCCGCGGAUAAUGGAAACUCGGGUUUUGCUGAGCAAAUGGAAUAAGGGUGCUGGAGCCUGGCCACGGCUCCAGGCCAUCCCGAGAGGCUUGAGAAAAGGCUCUUCUGGGCUCGUUCCUGUGCCCGCAGACCUUGUGGCAGGCACCGUACGCAGUCGGUGUUGUUCAGAUUAGGACUGCGAUUUUUUUUUGCUGAUUUGGUCAGUUUGAGCUUUUCCAGCGGAAUUUCUCUAGAGGGCAGUAAGGAUUCAAAGCAGCCUCAGUACCAGCACCUCCACACUCUCAGCCACUUCCAGCCCGCCAAGGAGCGCGCCAUGCACCGGCUGCUCUCAGCCUGGGCAGGCACCGACCGCACAGCUUGGGAGCAGUGCCCGCACCAGCCCUGGUGCGCAGUCAUGUCUGAGAACCUCAGGUGUCUUAGCAUCCAACAAAGCUGUAUUCCUGGCCUUAAAAAGUAUGUUUCUUGCCUGAAACAAAUUUAAACAAUAAUGUAAGAUGCCAUAAAACCUGAAACCACUUAUGUCAAGUCAACAGGAGAUUCCGUCAGGAUAAUUCCUUCCGUGUUUACAAAGCAGCUCGGCUUCACCCAGCGCUUUCACCUCUCCUCUUCCCCGUCCUGCUCUUGGCGGUGCAGUCUCCUGUCCUGGGCUGUGGUGUGGCAGCAGCCCUGCAGGUGUGGUUACCAGAGGCACCUGGGCAGCCCUGGCCGUGCUGUGACAGCCGUGCUGGUGCAGUCAGCACUGUGCUCCCUGGGCCGUUCUGAAGAGCUGAUCCCCGGUGGAAGCGACCCAGGUUAAAUCACCCAUCUGUCCCCGGGAGAGAUGUUACUAAGGUAAUAGGUGCUCGUUACCAGAAGUGACGUGAGGAAUGGUUUCCUGAGCCAAGCACAUGUUUUACGGGUUUACUCAGCACAGACACUGCUCUAGGAUUUUCACGAAGGGCGGGUGCUAGCCCUGUGGCUGGGCUCUCAGUAGGGCACCCAAAGCAACAGCUGAACAAGGGUGAGAAAACCCAACCCCUCCUCACCUAACGCACUGCGUGUGAUGAGAUCCUCGCUGAGCAGUUACGUCACAAGUACUCAGGGAGCUUCCACUCCCGUGUUAGGUUGUUUGGUACAAGCAGGAAGGCUCAUAAAUAGAAGUACCCCUUCAGAAGAGGAAUAUCUACCUAAAAUAGAUCUAUUUCAAAGCCAGUGGCCCAAGAGCAAUUGCUGUUCGGGGUCCUCAAUAUAAUUCAAACCACACUCUCUCUCAGAAAAAGCUUUUAGUUAAGGGGCUAUGAUUUUAAAAGGCUUUAUACCCCACAUGUGCACUAUGGAUCAUGGAACUAGGAAGCAGUAAAAGCUGAAUACAGCUAGUAUACUAGGGACUGACAGCAUUAUGACUUUUAUCAGUUGUAGGAGAAAUAAGUCCAGUCUUAGAAAGACAGUUAAGCCAAUAUGGCCAUGCUCCUAUGCUAAAGAUUUAUGGCGCACAGUCCACCCUAUAAAGCCAUUGUUCAGAAACCAAGGGCUCGAAAAUCCUUGUUCAGACAAGUAGUCCUUGUUCCCAAGUUCCACUGAACUUCCUUCCCUUUAGCUAGAACAAUCUUCCCCAAAAGCACCAGACAAGUAAGCGGAGUGCAUGAGAUGCAGGCCAACAAAGGCAGCCUUUCAUGCACAGUCCAGCUUGCCUUGCAGCAGCAUCUGGAACAAGAAGCCAAACAUCAGGAACUCGUCAUCUGGAAGAUACAUGGACGAGCAGAGCAGACCUGGAGCAGCUUAUUCCUGGCUCAACUGAUGACAUCUUCUAUUGCUUGUGCCACAGUUCCCCCAUCUAUACAGCUACACAGAUAAAGCUACUUUACAAAGCCCUUUCAUAUCUGUAAAUGAAAAACAUAAAUGCCAAGUGUCAUAAAGACACUUAAAGUGUCAAGAAACGUUUAGAUAUAGCGUUGAGAGACAUGGUUUAGUGGGGUUAUUGGU